RNAcentral lists this ribosomal RNA (372 nucleotides) under uncultured organism. RNAcentral describes it as "bacterial SSU rRNA". It matches the Rfam family "Bacterial small subunit ribosomal RNA", at positions 526 to 896 of the family's 1533-position model. The record is from RNAcentral.
CGUAGGUGGCAAGCGUUGUCCGGAAUUAUUGGGCGUAAAGCGCGCGCAGGCGGUCCUUUAAGUCUGAUGUGAAAGCCCACGGCUCAACCGUGGAGGGUCAUUGGAAACUGGGGGACUUGAGUGCAGAAGAGGAGAGUGGAAUUCCACGUGUAGCGGUGAAAUGCGUAGAGAUGUGGAGGAACACCAGUGGCGAAGGCGACUCUCUGGUCUGUAACUGACGCUGAGGCGCGAAAGCGUGGGGAGCAAACAGGAUUAGAUACCCUGGUAGUCCACGCCGUAAACGAUGAGUGCUAAGUGUUAGAGGGUUUCCGCCCUUUAGUGCUGCAGCUAACGCAUUAAGCACUCCGCCUGGGGAGUACGGCCGCAAGGCUG